RNAcentral lists this ribosomal RNA (467 nucleotides) under uncultured bacterium. RNAcentral's name for it is "partial 16S ribosomal RNA". It matches the Rfam family "Bacterial small subunit ribosomal RNA", at positions 28 to 507 of the family's 1533-position model. The record is from RNAcentral.
GACGAACGCUAGCGGCGUGCUUAACACAUGCAAGUCGAACGGAAAGGCCCUGCUUUUGUGGGGUGCUCGAGUGGCGAACGGGUGAGAACACGUGAGUAACCUGCCCUUGACUUUGGGAUAACUUCAGGAAACUGGGGCUAAUACCGGAUAGGAGCUCCUGCUGCAUGGUGGGGGGUGGAAAGUUUCGGCGGUUGGGGAUGGACUCGCGGCUUAUCAGCUUGUUGGUGGGGUAGUGGCUUACCAAGGCUUUGACGGGUAGCCGGCCUGAGAGGGUGACCGGCCACAUUGGGACUGAGAUACGGCCCAGACUCCUACGGGAGGCAGCAGUGGGGAAUAUUGCACAAUGGGCGGAAGCCUGAUGCAGCAACGCCGCGUGCGGGAUGACGGCCUUCGGGUUGUAAACCGCUUUCGCCUGUGACGAAGCGUGAGUGACGGUAAUGGGUAAAGAAGCACCGGCUAACUACGUG